Molecule: long non-coding RNA, 1671 nt
Organism: Chenopodium quinoa (quinoa)
Lineage: Eukaryota; Viridiplantae; Streptophyta; Magnoliopsida; Caryophyllales; Amaranthaceae
Exons: 5
Source: RefSeq, a predicted model, not a curated record
UUUAUAUGUCAACUAUGCGUGCCGUUUCCUGCUUGAAUUUAAUGAUGGUGAGCAGGAUCGUGAUCCUUUGUAUCUGAAGUAAUAAUUAGUUUUUAUUCAAAAUAUGUGCAAAUUAAAGUUAGAUCAUUGUUAGACCUUGCAUUUCUAUGAAUCUCCAUGAGUUUGUGAGGCGAUGGAUUCUAAAAGUAUAUCAAGCUCUUCUGUUUGAGAUUAUUACAAAUAUACUACUCUUCUAUACUUUUUGUUCUUGAGCACUUCAAUUAAUUUACAUCUCUGCUUUCUUACUUUAUUUUCUUGAUUUGUAUGUAUUAAAAGCCUGCCAAUGGCCCAAUACUCAUUAAAUCUUAGAGAGUAGUCAUUACUUUAGGAAAAUACAACUCAUCGCGAUCACCAAACAACGUAGUCAUGACCCGAAAUUGAAUAUCGUUUAUGUCAUUUGUCAUUUAUGACUUUAUCUACUCCUAUAACAAAUAAUGUGUGCUACAAAACUGACAGAAGUUUCUAAAGUGCACAUAAGGAAAUAGAUGACUUAAUGUUCCGAAGAUUCCUCUUACUUGUAAUCUUGUGAAGAAGACGGGUUCCAUGUUCUUAAAGUAUUUGAAAAGGAGGCAGACUUUUCUGCCUAAAGUUUGUCAUAAGAUAAGAGAAACAUUAUGACCUUUCCCAUAACAAAGUUAAUCUAGGAGGCAUAGAUAAAAAAAAAAGGACACCCUACUAUGAUUGCGUUCGCAGGUGGGCAUUACCUAAAUUCCAAAUCUGGUCGGGGGUCUUGAUGAGUUUAAGCGUCUUCUUGUAUAAAAUCUUGAUGAUCUGUGAGCAAUAAUACACCCCUUGAAUCUGUCAGCUAGCCCUGAUACAACAGCUGAGUUGUAGUAACUCUAAAGUUGUUGUAGUUCUCACUCGCUCGCUCUGCUUUGUUGAGUUUCAGGGGGAAAAGAGGAGAAGAUCGAGAGGAAGACAAUCUCAGAGAAGUUCUCAAGCACUCUGCUCAAAUGCUUUUGGAGCUCCGAACCUCAUAAUAAGUAUCUCUCUUGCUAAAUUGUUGCUUCUUCGUGUUUCUUCUGCACAUCCUAUGUGCCUUGUUCUUGAGUAGGCUUGGGAUGAAGGCAUCAUUGGCAUUCCAGAAUAAUGGUGCUGAAUGAAUAGUGGGUUCUAUGAAUUGUUUUUGGGUUUAUUUCUUAAGAUAUACUGCUUUGAUUAAUAAUUUGGUGGUUACAAAUAUCUCUUAAUAUGGGUGACAUUCAGAAUGCUCCUCUUUCAGAAGAGGAAACUACUUGUAGGUUUCUUUUGUAUGAACUUCAGAUAAUUUGGGAUGAAGUGAGCAAGCCUGAAAUAUUAGGGCCAAGAUGUUACUUAUAGGAGUGGAGCAAGUGCUUAAAGGCGCCAAGAAGACAAGGAUACAACCAUACUCUCGGAUGGUAGAUGAAGCAUGUGUGAGAUGGUGAUGGAGUUAUAGGUUGAGGUUAUGGGAUUUAAUUUCAUUUGUAGUACGAGUAGUAUUUAAUUUAUAGUUUUAAAUGGUAGAAAUGGAUAGAAUUAGAUACGUAAAUGAUGAAGUAAUGCAAGAGCAUAUAAGUGAAUAUAUGAGAAUAAUGUGUACUUGUUUUCAACUUCAAUAUGUGUACUGUGAUUUUAGUAGAGAAAUUAUAUCUUUGUUCUUGAGGCUAGGUA